GGGGAAUAUUGCACAAUGGGCGAAAGCCUGAUGCAGCGACGCCGCGUGCGGGAUGAAGGCCUUCGGGUUGUAAACCGCUUUUAAUUGGGAGCAAGCGAGAGUGAGUGUACCUUUUGAAUAAGCACCGGCUAACUACGUGCCAGCAGCCGCGGUAAUACGUAGGGUGCAAGCGUUAUCCGGAAUUAUUGGGCGUAAAGAGCUCGUAGGCGGUUUGUCACGCCUGGUGUGAAAGUCCAUCGCUUAACGGUGGAUCUGCGCCGGGUACGGGCAGGCUAGAGUGCAGUAGGGGAGAUUGGAAUUCCCGGUGUAACGGUGGAAUGUGUAGAUAUCGGGAAGAACACCAAUGGCGAAGGCAGAUCUCUGGGCUGUUACUGACGCUGAGGAGCGAAAGCAUGGGGAGCGAACAGGAUUAGAUACCCUGGUAGUCCAUGCCGUAAAACGGUGGAUGCUGGAUGUGGGACCCUUCCACGGGUUCCGUGUCGGAGCUAACGCGUUAAGCAUCCCGCC
RNAcentral lists this ribosomal RNA (507 nucleotides) under uncultured bacterium. Its description in RNAcentral is "partial 16S ribosomal RNA". It matches the Rfam family "Bacterial small subunit ribosomal RNA", at positions 356 to 873 of the family's 1533-position model. The record is from RNAcentral.